Molecule: long non-coding RNA, 327 nt
Organism: Ochotona curzoniae (black-lipped pika)
Lineage: Eukaryota; Metazoa; Chordata; Mammalia; Lagomorpha; Ochotonidae
Exons: 3
Source: RefSeq, a predicted model, not a curated record
AAGAGUUCCAGAGACCUCCUUCUUUAGCAUGCUUAGAGCUAUUGCAUGUGUUUCCCUGAAGUGCUGCUUGCUGUGAUGUAUGUGGCUUUUCCUGUGUUGACUUACUUUUGAAUGUGCUAAAUGGUCCUGGUAUGACCCGACAUUUGAGAACGACUGGUCUGUUUUGUUCCCAUUUAGAAGAUGUCUCUGCAAGGAACUCAGAGGCCAUGAGUUCCCUCACUGAGAAGUUUCAGAGGCUGUAACGUGGAAUCCAGCAUCUUCUACCGCACAGGCAGCUGCUACAUUGGAGCCCAGGAUGUGUGGCCCAGCUACUGCCCUCCAGUUUCU